UGUUGCUGGUGUGGAAUGGAGAAAGGGGGCCAUAAACCAGAGAAUGCAGUGAUCUCUAGAAGCUAGAAGAGGCAUGGAAAUGGAUUCUCCCCUGAAAGCCUCCAGAAAGAGACAUAAACCUGCCUACACUUUUAUUUUGCCCAGUGAGACCUGUGUUGUGGACCUAUCACUAAGUUUCUGGUGCUUGACCCAAGUAUCAGGAUGCUCUAGAGCCUCACCGGCACUCCAGAAUUCCUCACUGGUAUUCGCACCGUGAAUCAGCCCCAGCAUUUGCUUUCUGCUGCCUUUUCCUGAUCUAUCAUUGGAAGAUCCUCAACUAUGAGUCACUGUGAUGAUGUACAACAGGAAUGGCCUCACAUGGAAACCUUUUUGGUCCAGGCUGGGUUGUGAGGCAGGUUCAACUCUUCAGAGACUGAUAGUUCGGAACACAAAGAGCAGUUUCUUUAUGUGAGAGGAAUGGGGUAGAUGGUAUAUAUGGAGGCUGUAUCAAUGGUAAAGUACAAAAUAAA
Molecule: long non-coding RNA, 509 nt
Organism: Bos taurus (domestic cattle)
Lineage: Eukaryota; Metazoa; Chordata; Mammalia; Artiodactyla; Bovidae
Source: Ensembl